Molecule: long non-coding RNA, 4291 nt
Organism: Ictalurus punctatus (channel catfish)
Lineage: Eukaryota; Metazoa; Chordata; Actinopteri; Siluriformes; Ictaluridae
Source: Ensembl
CAACAGACAGGCAGACAGACAUACAGUUGAUAGACAAGCAGGCAUAUAGUAGAGAGACAGACAGAAAAAUAGACAGACAGACAGGCCGACUGACACAAAGAUGCACAGGCAGACAGAUAGACAGACAGGCACAGAGACCCACAGAGAGACGGGCAGACAGAUACAGUACGUAGAAGGAUGGACAGACAGACGGGUAGAUACAGUAGACAGAAAGAUAUACAGAGAGUGAGACAGAUAGUAUGUAGACAGGUGGACAGACAAACAUAAAGACAGAUAGAUACGACAGACAGACAGGCAGGCAGACAGACAUAAAGACAGAUACAGUAGACAGACAGACAAGUAGAUAAAGAGACAGAUAGAUAAACAGGCAGGCCAAGAGAUAGACACUGUAGAAAGACAGAUCCACACACAGACAAAUGGACAGAUAAAUAGACAGACAGACAGAUAAAUAGACAGACAGACAGAUAAAUAGACAGACAGAUAAAUAGAUAGAGCAGAUAGACAGGCAGACAUUAAGACAUACAGUUGACAGACAGAGAGACAGAAAGACAGAAGGGUCUGAGACGGAAUGAUUGAUUUAUUCAGCGUGAUAUCGGUUAGAAUUAAGGUGUUUAAUCAGACGUUUAAAUCAGACGUUUGGUGUUAUUUUAAAAUGACUCUUUGAAACGAUUUUUUUUUUUUUUUGCAGUUUAUGGAUUCUGGACUUUCCUUUGUGUGUUUCUGAGCACCGUGGACUGAUUUCCUGAUUUCUCUGUGCAGUUGAAAAUCUCAUUGGCCUGACCGCAAGCCCGUGCCAUCUACUCUGAAUGGUACAAUAGCCGGCAUUCUGGCGAGGAAUUGAACGCUGCUGGCUGAUACCUGUUAGAUGGGCUUGAAAUGAUGAUCCAUCUUAGGCAGUUUGCUCAGGUCAGGUGGAGUUUUAUCAUUGUUUUUCCUCUCUGACAGACAAAUAUCUGCUGGUGGAUUUCUUCUCGUCUCCCUGCUGGAAUCUACAACCAGGUGUGCGGCCUCGGGAAUUUUUACGUCGUCCACGGUAUGUUCGUCGAGGAUCUCGUCGUAAUCGUCUCAAGUCGACAUCGGCUCAGGAUCUCAUCACAUUCCGGCAGCCUGCUCCUCAUUUCAACCCGGCUCCUCAGCCCAGCUUUCUGAUUUAAUCUGACGGAUGGAGCGUUCGAGCUGUAUGAUGGAUGUUCUUCCUGCACGUCUUUCGAAAGAGGUUUUCGAAACUGUCAGUCCACUUGUGACGACCAUUAUUAAUAGCUCGUCAGCUCCCGGAGUUGCUGGGAAAAGUUGUUUAUGCACACUUAUAUUCUCAUUUGAAUUUUUAAAAAAAAUAUUUUAGACGAGUUCCAGUCAGGUUUGAGAUCUUUACACGGUGCUGAAUCUGCCCUGUUAAAACCUACCAAUGAUAUUUUAACGUCACUUGACUCUAGCAGUUUUGCUGUGUUGGUCUUAUCGGAUCUUAGCGCUGCCUUUGAUACGAUCGACCAUAGUGUUCUUUUAAAUCUUAGAGUCUGUGGUCGGUAUCAAGGGUCUGGCUUUGCAUCUUAUCUGAAAGAUAGGACUUUCGCAGUAAACACUGGGAAUUUCUCUUCUUCCUCGGCCCACUUAUCGUGUGGCGUUCCUCAGGGCUCCAUAUUGGGUCCUCUGUUGUUUUCCGUUUAUAUGCUUCCCCUGGGUUCUAUGUUUUUUUCUGACCCCCGGAAAUAUGAUAUUUAGUUUCACUGCUAUGUUGAUGAUACCCAAUUAUAUUUGCCAGUUGGCAUCAGUCCUUUUGGGUCGCUUUUUAAAUGUCUUGAGGACAUCAAAUGGCGGAUGGCUAACAACCGUCUGCAGCGAAAUGAAAGCGAAACUGAAGUCUGAAGUUAUUUUGGGCUCCCGUACUGUCUCCUCAGCUCUUGAGGCCUAGUCAGGUCACCUAGGAGUCAUUUUUGACUCAAACAAAUCAGCGCUGUAGUUAAGGGGAGCUUCUUUCAUUUAAGAUCUAUUGCAAAGUUCAAACAGUUUCUCUCUAGAAAAGACCUAGAACCUGUGAGUCAUGCUCUUGCUACAUUCUCUAUACAAAUGACUGUCAGACUCCAGUCACCACCACUCAUUACUUUAAAUAUGCAGACGAUACUGCCAUUCUUCCAUUGCUGAAUAAGGACAAUGAUUCGUUUUUGGACUGUCAACGCUCCCAAAGCACAUUUUACUACAUGGUGUGAUGAUAACUUUCUCCACCUUAAUAUCGCGAAGAGCUCCUUUUUAGCUCCUCAAAAGCACCGACCCGUCCUUCCAGUGUUACCAUUGACGGGGAGAUGGUUGAAAGGGUGGAGCAUUUCAGAUAUCCGGGCAUCACAUUACAUUGGAUAAACAUCUCAAGUUCAAUCAGCACACUCUAGGUAUUUACAAGUGCUGUCAACAGAGACUCACAGUUAUCCGUAGACUUAAAUAUCUCUCCGUCCAGCCUGGUCUGCUUCUUCUUCUGUAUCGAGGUAUUAUCGAAACUGGUUCUUAUGUAUGAUGCCAUUUGUUUUGUUUUUUUCCUCCAUAUGCUAACAGUUACCGAUAAGAACGAACUAAUUUAGCGGGAAGAACGAUUGGUAUUCCCAACCCCGAUUUAUCGGACCGUGCCAUUUCACGUACGCCCCGGAAGGCACAUCAAAUUUUAAACGAUCCGGACCACCCGCUUUAUCGAUAUUUCCACCCGCUUCCUUCUGGACGCAGGUAUAGACUACCCAUGUGCAGAAAGGCCAGCUACGGUAGUUGUUUUGUUCCUAUGGCUAUAUGCAUACUCUGCUCUGGCAUUGUAUGAUCCUGACGUGUUCUUUGUGUUCCCUCUAUGCCCGUGAUUGUUUUUGGGUCUUGGGUUUCUUCUUUCUACGCACCCACGGUGGGUAUAAAUAAAAGGAUCUGUCUAUCUACAUCACGGUUGGACUACUGUUAUUCUUUGUAUGUCGGCCUUCCUCGACCCGCCUUAUCUCGUCUGUAGCGCGUGCAAAUUAUUCUCUGGGUUAUAACGUUAUUUAACGUGAUGGAUUUGAAUGUUUCGGAUCAGCGCCUGUCGUCCAUUGUUAAACGUGCUUAAUACAUAAAUCAGCCAUGACUUUUAAUAGCUUCAGGACUUUUAUAUGAAUAAAAAAAAAGUGUACAUCUGAAUCAAAUGAGUUCAUCGUAAUAAGAAGGAUCGCUGUUUUCAUUAAUCACGGAGAAUAAAGGUGCCGCUCUACAGUUAUUUCCCUCUCGGCCAUGUGACGUGAUCUUAGACCGAAUAUCCCACGAACCGAAACUGACCUGAGAUCUGCUGUUCUUUACUGAGACCAUCUGAAUCUAGUUAUGACUUUCUCGAUUGUAAUGCAUGUCAGCGUUACACACGGCUACGGCGCUGCACGUGAUCAGUCUGGGGUGGGAAAUACUAACGAGGACGGGAGUCCACACCGGUGUCUAAUUACCGACAUGACCAAUAACCAGUGAAAAGUACAGAAGGUGUGAUACGACGUAGCGUUUAUUAUUCUUUGCUGCGUUUAUAUAUUGUCCCCACACCCCAAUGAGCUCUGCAGAUGGUUUUGCUGGUUUCACAGAUAUGCUUGAGUUUCAACAUCACCUGUAUAUUGACUCUAGAUGAGGUCCUAGGAAGCCACACGUACACACACACACACACACACACACACACACUCGUUCCCCAAACACGUUCAUGCAGAGACUAAAUGCAAAUAAUGUAGGCAGGAUGUGACUCACAAACGAAAACACGCUACUCAGAUGACACGCUCAUUCACAUCGAAAGAAAAACUGAGCCGAGAGGCUGACUAGCGAGCGGGAAACGGCUGACGAUGAAAAACGCUGACCCGAUCAGUGCGCUAAUAUCAGGAGAACAUGUACACAACAUCGUUAUAUCUAGAAAUCUAUUUAUUGAUGCGUGCGGCAAACAUGAAAAGGGUUACAGCGAGAAGGACGUGGGACGUGAAAGGGGCACGUGCUUCUGUUAUCUAGAGUCGACCUUUGACGUGAGCGAUGCAAAACAAAAUCGCAAAGCACAUGCUGUCGGGACUGCCUGGUUUAGAACUGAUAGCGAGGAAAACAGUCGCUGAGGAGGAGGAGGAUUCACGGGGAGAGGAGCGUUAAUGAGGAGAGAGAGAGGAAGAGAGAGGAGUGUUAAUGAGGAGAGAGAGAGGAGUGUUAAUGAGGAGAGAAGAGGAGUGUUAAUGAGGAGAGAGAGAGGAGAGAGAGAGGAGUGUUAAUGAGGAGAAGAGAGAGGAGUGUUAAUGAGGAGAGAGAGGAGGAGUGUUAAUGAGGAGAGAGUAGAGAGGUAGUG